AGCAGCCGCGGUAAUUCCAGCUCCAAUAGCGUAUAUUAAAGUUGUUGCAGUUAAAAAGCUCGUAGUUGAAUUUCGGGGUUAGUAGGUUGGUCGUGCCACUGGUACGUACUGGUCUCACUGAUUCCUCCUUCCUGAUGAACUGUAAUGCCAUUAAUUUGGUGUUGCAGGGAAACUGGACUGUUACUUUGAAAAAAGUUAGAGUGUUUAAAGCAAGCUAACGCUUGAAUACAUUAGCAUGGAAUAAUGAAAUUAGGACGUUCGAUCCUAUUUUGUUGGUUUCUAGGAUUGACGUAAUGAUUAAUAGGGAUAGUUGGGGGCAUUAGUAUUCAAUUGUCAGAGGUGAAAUUCUUGGAUUUAUUGAAGACUAACUACUGCGAAAGCAUUUUGCCAAGGAUGUUUUCAUUAAUCAAGAACGAAAGUUAGGGGAUCGAAGACGAUCAGAUACCGUCGUAGUCUUAACCAUAAACUAUGCCGACUAGGGAUCGGAUGGAUGUUAAUUUUUUUCAAUGAC
Molecule: ribosomal RNA, 511 nt
Filed under: uncultured Glomus
Lineage: Eukaryota; Fungi; Glomeromycota; Glomeromycetes; Glomerales; Glomeraceae
Description: SSU rRNA
Rfam family: Eukaryotic small subunit ribosomal RNA
Source: RNAcentral